Molecule: ribosomal RNA, 505 nt
Filed under: uncultured bacterium
Lineage: Bacteria
Description: bacterial SSU rRNA
Rfam family: Bacterial small subunit ribosomal RNA
Source: RNAcentral
GGCGGCGUGGAUAAGACAUGCAAGUCGAACGCGAUUUAUCAGGUUAGCAAUAACUUGGUAAAUUGAGUGGCGAAAGGGUGCGUAACACGUGGGAAUUUACCAAGAAGUGGGGAAUAGCUCGACGAAAGUCGAAUUAAUACCGCAUACGAUCGCAAGAUCAAAGCCGGGGACCGCAAGGCCUGGCGCUUUUUGAGAAGCCCGCGGCCCAUCAGCUAGUUGGCGGGGUAACGGCCCACCAAGGCUAUGACGGGUAGCUGGUCUGAGAGGACGACCAGCCACACUGGAACUGAGACACGGUCCAGACACCUACGGGUGGCAGCAGUCGAGAAUUUUUCACAAUGGACGAAAGUCUGAUGGAGCGACGCCGCGUGGAGGAUGAAGGUUUUCGGAUUGUAAACUCCUGUCACUGCAGAACAAGGAUGUGUGUAUGAACAGUACAUGCAUUUGAUGGUAUGCGGAGAGGAAGGGACGGCUAACUCUGUGCCAGCAGCCGCGGUAAGACAGA